CCUGGCUCAGAUUGAACGCUGGCGGCAGGCCUAACACAUGCAAGUCGAGCGGAAACGAGUUAUCUGAACCUUCGGGGAACGAUAACGGCGUCGAGCGGCGGACGGGUGAGUAAUGCCUAGGAAAUUGCCCUGAUGUGGGGGAUAACCAUUGGAAACGAUGGCUAAUACCGCAUGAUGCCUACGGGCCAAAGAGGGGGACCUUCGGGCCUCUCGCGUCAGGAUAUGCCUAGGUGGGAUUAGCUAGUUGGUGAGGUAAGGGCUCACCAAGGCGACGAUCCCUAGCUGGUCUGAGAGGAUGAUCAGCCACACUGGAACUGAGACACGGUCCAGACUCCUACGGGAGGCAGCAGUGGGGAAUAUUGCACAAUGGGCGCAAGCCUGAUGCAGCCAUGCCGCGUGUGUGAAGAAGGCCUUCGGGUUGUAAAGCACUUUCAGUCGUGAGGAAGGCGGCGUCGUUAAUAGCGGCGUUGUUUGACGUUAGCGACAGAAGAAGCACCGGCUAACUCCGUGCCAGCAGCCGCGGUAAUACGGAGGGUGCGAGCGUUAAUCGGAAUUACUGGGCGUAAAGCGCGCGUAGGUGGCUUGAUAAGCCGGUUGUGAAAGCCCCGGGCUCAACCUGGGAACGGCAUCCGGAACUGUCAGGCUAGAGUGCAGGAGAGGAAGGUAGAAUUCCCGGUGUAGCGGUGAAAUGCGUAGAGAUCGGGAGGAAUACCAGUGGCGAAGGCGGCCUUCUGGACUGACACUGACACUGAGGUGCGAAAGCGUGGGUAGCAAACAGGAUUAGAUACCCUGGUAGUCCACGCCGUAAACGAUGUCGACCAGCCGUUGGGUGCCUAGCGCAC
This 842-nucleotide ribosomal RNA is filed under the name uncultured bacterium. RNAcentral's name for it is "bacterial SSU rRNA". It matches the Rfam family "Bacterial small subunit ribosomal RNA", at positions 18 to 839 of the family's 1533-position model. The record is from RNAcentral.